RNAcentral lists this long non-coding RNA (571 nucleotides) under Elaeis guineensis (African oil palm). Its description in RNAcentral is "long non-coding RNA (EGUI_LNC026354)". The record is from RNAcentral. Lineage: Eukaryota; Viridiplantae; Streptophyta; Magnoliopsida; Arecales; Arecaceae.
CUGGUUCUUAUGAUAGUAGCAGACCUAAAUGUCAUGCCAUUGGAUGCUAUGAUAUUGUAUUACAAAGAUAAUGGUCUAUAGCCCUUGCUAAAGAGCCAAUGUCUCACUAGAAGUCCAUGCACAUAGAAUAGAUAUACGCGAAUACCUCAAGUAGAAAUAUAUGGAGGUGAAGAGAGUAGACUCCACAUGAUAGUGGUAGGCCCAAGUCACUUAGCCAGCGAAACACUGAACCCUAUCUUCAGAAGAUGGGGCUCAGGUAUAUGGCAAAUUGAUUUUAGUGCAAAUAAAAAUUUGUUGGAUGUGUGUCCUAGAAUCCAAUCUUGGAUGACAUAUACUUUUUUCUAGGACAUAUUUUAUACUUAUUGGGCAGUCUUAAUAAUCAAUCAUGUUUAUGUAUCCAUAAUUUGUCCUAGAAAUUAACAAAGAUGAUUUUAUAUAUUUUCAAAGUGUUGAGAAUUUGAGACAUACAUCAUUAGUGGUUAAUUUCUAAAUACUUUCGAUCGAAAGAUCAUCACGAAGGAUAGUGAUCAAUCCAUUCGAGAUCGAUGCAUUGAUCACCUCCCUUUAGGGC